RNAcentral lists this long non-coding RNA (586 nucleotides) under Malus domestica (apple). Its description in RNAcentral is "long non-coding RNA (MDOM_LNC008434)". Lineage: Eukaryota; Viridiplantae; Streptophyta; Magnoliopsida; Rosales; Rosaceae. The record is from RNAcentral.
UACUUCCUCAUAUGAACUACCAAAGAAAUUGGAAAAACCAAAGAUUGUCUUUACAUUCCAAUUUUAAGGAACUAAAUUCCGUCACUAUGUGAAAUGGAUAAAUGUUUUGUUUGACAAAACAUUGUUCUUUAUUAAUGAAUGAUUAGAUUAUUGUAAUCUAAUUAAUUAUUAUCUCUAUAUUAGAGAUAAUAUGGUAGUGUUAACUGUUUAGAAAAUAAUGAUGCUUAAAACCCAAAAGGUUGCAAGGUAGUGACUAAUCCCAACUAAAGUUGUGAUACCUCUAAAACAUAAAUUACGAGUUGGUCAUAGAUGGACGCUUUGGAUCGUUAGAUCCGGAUCCAAUACCUUCUUGUUAAAAUUGUAUAGAGGCGAAAUGUUCGAAUCUUUAUUCUUUUGGAAAGAAGAAAGAAUCACAAAGUUGUUGAGGUUAAUUCACUUAGAUAGUGGCACUUGUCCACAACAUAAUACUACUCAUGUUGGAUGACAUUCACCGAAGAUCACUCUCGGUUGAACUAUAGUUUAUUUUGAAUAAACACAAGUCCGAAUACUUUGCAAAAUGUUUCAAAGAAUUCAAGUAAUGUAAGUU